Small nuclear RNA from Molossus molossus (Pallas's mastiff bat), 193 nucleotides. RefSeq annotates it as U2 spliceosomal RNA. The transcript has a single exon. Lineage: Eukaryota; Metazoa; Chordata; Mammalia; Chiroptera; Molossidae. The record is from RefSeq and is a predicted model, not a curated record.
UUUGCUUCCCAGCCUUUUGGCUAAAAUCAAGUAUAGGUAUUUGUUCUUAUCACUUUAACAUCUGAUACAUUCUCUAUCUGAGGACACCAUAUUAAAUACAUUUUUGGAGCAGGGAGAUGGAAUAGAAGCUUGCUCCAUCCACACCGUACAUCAGCCCAGUAUUGCAGUACCUCUGAGGACCAGUCAUCUCUCC